GACGAACGCUGGCGGCGUGCUUAACACAUGCAAGUCGAGCGGUAAGGCCCUUUCGGGGGUACACGAGCGGCGAACGGGUGAGUAACACGUGGGUGACCUGCCCUCAGCUCUGGGAUAAGCCCGGGAAACUGGGUCUAAUACCGGAUAUGACUCCAUGACGCAUGUUGUGGGGUGGAAAGCCUUGUGCGGCUGAGGAUGGGCCCGCGGCCUAUCAGCUUGUUGGUGGGAUGAUGGCCUACCAAGGCGACGACGGGUAGCCGGCCUGAGAGGGCGACCGGCCACACUGGGACUGAGAUACGGCCCAGACUCCUACGGGAGGCAGCAGUGGGGAAUCUUGCGCAAUGGGCGAAAGCCUGACGCAGCGACGCCGCGUGAGGGAUGACGGCCUGG
RNAcentral lists this ribosomal RNA (390 nucleotides) under uncultured bacterium. RNAcentral's name for it is "bacterial SSU rRNA". It matches the Rfam family "Bacterial small subunit ribosomal RNA", at positions 28 to 419 of the family's 1533-position model. The record is from RNAcentral.